RNAcentral lists this ribosomal RNA (253 nucleotides) under uncultured bacterium. RNAcentral describes it as "partial 16S ribosomal RNA". It matches the Rfam family "Bacterial small subunit ribosomal RNA", at positions 524 to 776 of the family's 1533-position model. The record is from RNAcentral.
UACGUAGGGUGCAAGCGUUGUCCGGAAUUAUUGGGCGUAAAGAGCUCGUAGGCGGUCUGUCACGUCGGCUGUGAAAUCCCGAGGCUCAACCUCGGGUCUGCAGUCGAUACGGGCAAACUAGAGUAUUGCAGGGGAGACUGGAAUUCCUGGUGUAGCGGUGGAAUGCGCAGAUAUCAGGAGGAACACCGAUGGCGAAGGCAGGUCUCUGGGCCACUACUGACGCUGAGAAGCGAAAGCAUGGGGAGCGAACAGG